RNAcentral lists this ribosomal RNA (91 nucleotides) under Pseudomonas syringae pv. actinidiae. Lineage: Bacteria; Pseudomonadati; Pseudomonadota; Gammaproteobacteria; Pseudomonadales; Pseudomonadaceae. The record is from RNAcentral.
CACCUGAUCCCAUCCCGAACUCAGCAGUGAAACGAUGUAUCGCCGAUGGUAGUGGGGGGUUUCCCCAUGUGAGAGUAGGUCAUCGUCAAGA